This 200-nucleotide unclassified non-coding RNA is filed under the name Tomentella sp. RNAcentral describes it as "partial internal transcribed spacer 2". The record is from RNAcentral. Lineage: Eukaryota; Fungi; Basidiomycota; Agaricomycetes; Thelephorales; Thelephoraceae.
UUAAGUUCGCGGUGAGCCUACCUGAUUUGAGAUCAAACAUUCAAAGAGCUGUCCUCACUGAAGAAAGACAUUUGUGAGCCCCAGUGAACCCCCAUCACUGAAGGUUGCCCGGUGGAAAACCCCAAGCGUAGAUUGUUAUCACACCUGUGGUGCCACCAAACACUGGUAGGCUGAUUCAUUUGAGAGGAGCUGACCAAAUG